GACGAACGCUGGCGGCGUGCCUAAUACAUGCAAGUAGAACGCACAGUUUAUACCGUAGCUUGCUACACCAUAGACUGUGAGUUGCGAACGGGUGAGUAACGCGUAGGUAACCUGCCUGGUAGCGGGGGAUAACUAUUGGAAACGAUAGCUAAUACCGCAUAAUAUUAAUUAUUGCAUGAUAAUUGAUUGAAAGGUGCAAAUGCAUCACUACCAGAUGGACCUGCGUUGUAUUAGCUAGUAGGUGAGGUAACGGCUCACCUAGGCGACGAUACAUAGCCGACCUGAGAGGGUGAUCGGCCACACUGGGACUGAGACACGGCCCAGACUCCUACGGGAGGCAGCAGUAGGGAAUCUUCGGCAAUGGACGAAAGUCUGACCGAGCAACGCCGCGUGAGUGAAGAAGGUUUUCGGAUCGUAAAGCUCUGUUGUAAGAGAAGGACGGGUGUGAGAGUGGAAAGUUCACACUGUGACGGUAUCUUACCAGAAAGGGACGGCUAACUACGUGCCAGCAGCCGCGGUAAUACGUAGGUCCCGAGCGUUGUCCGGAUUUAUUGGGCGUAAAGCGAGCGCAGGCGGUUAGAUAAGUCUGAAGUUAAAGGCUGUGGCUUAACCAUAGUACGCUUUGGAAACUGUUUAACUUGAGUGCAGAAGGGGAGAGUGGAAUUCCAUGUGUAGCGGUGAAAUGCGUAGAUAUAUGGAGGAACACCGGUGGCGAAAGCGGCUCUCUGGGUCUGUAACUGACGCUGAAGCUCGAAAGCGUGGGUGAGCGAACGGGAG
Molecule: ribosomal RNA, 777 nt
Filed under: uncultured Streptococcus sp.
Lineage: Bacteria; Bacillati; Bacillota; Bacilli; Lactobacillales; Streptococcaceae
Description: bacterial SSU rRNA
Rfam family: Bacterial small subunit ribosomal RNA
Source: RNAcentral